CCUGUAAGACUGGGAUAACUCCGGGAAACCGGAGCUAAUACCGGAUAGUUCCUUGAACCGCAUGGUUCAAGGAUGAAAGACGGUUUCGGCUGUCACUUACAGAUGGACCCGCGGCGCAUUAGCUAGUUGGUGAGGUAACGGCUCACCAAGGCGACGAUGCGUAGCCGACCUGAGAGGGUGAUCGGCCACACUGGGACUGAGACACGGCCCAGACUCCUACGGGAGGCAGCAGUAGGGAAUCUUCCGCAAUGGACGAAAGUCUGACGGAGCAACGCCGCGUGAGUGAUGAAGGUUUUCGGAUCGUAAAGCUCUGUUGUUAGGGAAGAACAAGUGCAAGAGUAACUGCUUGCACCUUGACGGUACCUAACCAGAAAGCCACGGCUAACUACGUGCCAGCAGCCGCGGUAAUACGUAGGUGGCAAGCGUUGUCCGGAAUUAUUGGGCGUAAAGGGCUCGCAGGCGGUUUCUUAAGUCUGAUGUGAAAGCCCCCGGCUCAACCGGGGAGGGUCAUUGGAAACUGGGAAACUUGAGUGCAGAAGAGGAGAGUGGAAUUCCACGUGUAGCGGUGAAAUGCGUAGAGAUGUGGAGGAACACCAGUGGCGAAGGCGACUCUCUGGUCUGUAACUGACGCUGAGGAGCGAAAGCGUGGGGAGCGAACAGGAUUAGAUACCCUGGUAGUCCACGCCGUAAACGAUGAGUGCUAAGUGUUAGGGGGUUUCCGCCCCUUAGUGCUGCAGCUAACGCAUUAAGCACUCCGCCUGGGGAGUACGGUCGCAAGACUGAAACUCAAAGGAAUUGACGGGGGCCCGCACAAGCGGUGGAGCAUGUGGUUUAAUUCGAAGCAACGCGAAGAACCUUACCAGGUCUUGACAUCCUCUGACAACCCUAGAGAUAGGGCUUUCCCUUCGGGGACAGAGUGACAGGUGGUGCAUGGUUGUCGUCAGCUCGUGUCGUGAGAUGUUGGGUUAAGUCCCGCAACGAGCGCAACCCUUGAUCUUAGUUGCCAGCAUUCAGUUGGGCACUCUAAGGUGACUGCCGGUGACAAACCGGAGGAAGGUGGGGAUGACGUCAAAUCAUCAUGCCCCUUAUGACCUGGGCUACAC
This 1103-nucleotide ribosomal RNA is filed under the name Bacillus stratosphericus. RNAcentral's name for it is "bacterial SSU rRNA". It matches the Rfam family "Bacterial small subunit ribosomal RNA", at positions 129 to 1219 of the family's 1533-position model. Lineage: Bacteria; Bacillati; Bacillota; Bacilli; Caryophanales; Bacillaceae. RNAcentral also lists the same sequence under 1 other name. The record is from RNAcentral.